RNAcentral lists this ribosomal RNA (292 nucleotides) under uncultured bacterium. RNAcentral describes it as "partial 16S ribosomal RNA". The record is from RNAcentral.
GGACUACCAGGGUAUCUAAUCCUGUUCGCUCCCCACGCUUUCGUGCCUCAGUGUCAGUAACGGUCCAGGAAGUCGCCUUCGCCACUGGUGUUCCUUCCGAUAUCUACGCAUUUCACCGCUACACCGGAAAUUCCACUUCCCUCUACCGCACUCUAGCCAAUCAGUUUUAUAUGCAAUUCCCAGGUUAAGCCCGGGGUUUUCACAUACAACUUAAUUAACCACCUACGCACCCUUUACGCCCAGUAAUUCCGAUUAACGCUUGCACCCUCUGUAUUACCGCGGCUGCUGGCAC